AGGACACACAUUCACACAGUACCAUGAUGCUGGGGGAGGACACACAUUCACACAGUACCAUGAUGCUGGGGGAGGACACACAUUCACACAGUACCAUGAUGCUGAGGGCUGACACACAUUCACACAGUACCAUGAUGCUGGGGGAGGACACACAUUCACACAGUACCAUGAUGCUGGGGGUGGACACACAUUCACACAGUACCAUGAUGCUGGGGGAGGACACACAUUCACACAGUACCAUGAUGCUGGGGGCGGACACACAUUCACACAGUACCAUGAUGCUGGGGGAGGACACACAUUCACACAGUACCGUGAUGCUGGGGGAGGACACACAUUCACACAGUACCAUGAUGCUGGGGGAGGACACACAUUCACACAGUACC
RNAcentral lists this long non-coding RNA (383 nucleotides) under Rattus norvegicus (Norway rat). Its description in RNAcentral is "long non-coding RNA NONRATT005703". Lineage: Eukaryota; Metazoa; Chordata; Mammalia; Rodentia; Muridae. The record is from RNAcentral.